Molecule: unclassified non-coding RNA, 302 nt
Filed under: Hevea brasiliensis (rubber tree)
Lineage: Eukaryota; Viridiplantae; Streptophyta; Magnoliopsida; Malpighiales; Euphorbiaceae
Source: RNAcentral
UGAUGCUCUGAAACAGCUACUUGGCUUUGAAGUGGUGACAGAUUUUGGACAAUUUGAUUGGCAGUUCUAUCUUUUGGUUUUUCUGAUUUGGAGGAGUACCUUUCUUUUGUUUGUUAAAAUCAAUUUGGUUCCUUCUUUUUUGGCCUUUUGCUUUAUUUUUUCGGGUUUCUAAAUUGCAUGGUAUUUUUUUUCUUUUAAACUUUAAGCCAAAGACCAGUAUAGUGGCUAAUUGGCAGAGAAGGUAAAAAGGGUGAGAGAGCAUAACAAUGACCUUGGGUCCUCGGGGAUUGAAAACAAAAAUG